GAACGCACCUUGCACCCUUUGGCAUUCCGAAGGGUAUGCUCGUUUGAGUGUCAUUGUACUCUCACUCUCCCGAUACUUUUGGAUCGGGAGUGGUGGACUUGGGUGCUGCUGCUUAACUGUGGCUCGCCUCAAAUGAAGUAGUGCAACUCUCGGUUGGACAUAGUACGGCGUGAUAAGUAUCUUCGCCGGCGCCUCAUUCGAGGGUGGCCGAUCGGGAGCUCUGUGCUUCAAACCGUCUUCGGACAAUAUCUGACAACUUGACCUCAAAUCGAGUAGGACUACCCGCUGAACUUA
This 294-nucleotide unclassified non-coding RNA is filed under the name uncultured Sebacina. Its description in RNAcentral is "sequence contains 5.8S rRNA gene". The record is from RNAcentral. Lineage: Eukaryota; Fungi; Basidiomycota; Agaricomycetes; Sebacinales; Sebacinaceae.